GAAACGUUCGGGCAGCGGUGCACUGCAUCCCGGCCGCCUGGUUCCGCGGGAUUACCCGCUGAACUUAAGACUAUUCAAUAAGCGAGGAAAAGAGACCAACAGGGAUUGCCCCAGUAACGGCGAGUGAAGCGGCAACAGCUCAAAUUUGAAAUUUCUUGGGGCCCCCAGGGACCCCGAAGGGGUUUUGUUUAAAUUUUGCAGAGGAUGCUUUUGGCGCGGUGCCUUCCGAGUUCCCUGGAACGGGACGCCAUAGAGGGUGAGAGCCCCGUCUGGUCGGACGCCUAGCCUGUGUAAAGCUCCUUCGACGAGUCGAGUAGUUUGGGAAUGCUGCUCUAAAUGGGAGGUAUAUGUCUUCUAAAGCUAAAUACCGGCCAGAGACCGAUAGCGCACAAGUAGAGUGAUCGAAAGAUGAAAAGCACUUUGAAAAGAGGGUUAAAUAGUACGUGAAAUUGUUUGAAAAGGGAAGCGCUUGUGACCAGACUUGGGCCCCGUGGAUCAUCCAGCGUUCUCGCUGGUGCACUCCGCCCGGUUCAGGCCAGCAUCAGUUCGCCGCGGGGGAAAAAGGCUUCGGGAACGUGGCUCCUACGGGAGUGUUAUAGCCGUUGCAUAUACCCUGGCGGGACUGAGGUUCGCGCAU
Molecule: ribosomal RNA, 637 nt
Filed under: uncultured Aschersonia
Lineage: Eukaryota; Fungi; Ascomycota; Sordariomycetes; Hypocreales; Clavicipitaceae
Description: LSU rRNA
Rfam family: Eukaryotic large subunit ribosomal RNA
Source: RNAcentral